This 137-nucleotide ribosomal RNA is filed under the name uncultured bacterium. Its description in RNAcentral is "partial 16S ribosomal RNA". It matches the Rfam family "Bacterial small subunit ribosomal RNA", at positions 355 to 509 of the family's 1533-position model. The record is from RNAcentral.
UGGGGAAUAUUGCACAAUGGGGGAAACCCUGAUGCAGCGACGCCGCGUGAGCGAAGAAGUAUUUCGGUAUGUAAAGCUCUAUCAGCAGGAAAGAAAAUGACGGUACCUGACUAAGAAGCUCCGGCUAAAUACGUGCC